This 214-nucleotide ribosomal RNA is filed under the name uncultured Pseudomonadota bacterium. Its description in RNAcentral is "uncultured proteobacterium partial 16S ribosomal RNA". It matches the Rfam family "Bacterial small subunit ribosomal RNA", at positions 322 to 525 of the family's 1533-position model. Lineage: Bacteria; Pseudomonadati; Pseudomonadota. The record is from RNAcentral.
UAUUACCGCGGCUGCUGGGCCUACGGGAGGCAGCAGUAGGGAAUAUUGCGCAAUGGGGGAAACCCUGACGCAGCAACGCCGCGUGAGUGAGGAAGGUCUUAGGAUUGUAAAACUCUUUUAUUAGGGAAAAAUGGUUAGGGAGCUAAUACCCCCUGAUUUGAUGGUACCUAAGGAAUAAGCACCGGCUAACUUCGUGCCAGCAGCCGCGGUAAUA